RNAcentral lists this ribosomal RNA (253 nucleotides) under uncultured bacterium. RNAcentral describes it as "partial 16S ribosomal RNA". It matches the Rfam family "Bacterial small subunit ribosomal RNA", at positions 524 to 776 of the family's 1533-position model. The record is from RNAcentral.
UACGUAGGGUGCAAGCGUUGUCCGGAAUUAUUGGGCGUAAAGAGCUCGUAGGCGGUUCGUCACGUCGGCUGUGAAAUCCCGAGGCUCAACCUCGGGUCUGCAGUCGAUACGGGCGGACUGGAGUACUGCAGGGGAGACUGGAAUUCCUGGUGUAGCGGUGAAAUGCGCAGAUAUCAGGAGGAACACCAAUGGCGAAGGCAGCACUCUGGGACGUGACUGACGCUGAGACGCGAAAGCGUGGGGAGCAAACAGG